RNAcentral lists this long non-coding RNA (609 nucleotides) under Amborella trichopoda. RNAcentral describes it as "long non-coding RNA (ATRI_LNC000298)". The record is from RNAcentral. Lineage: Eukaryota; Viridiplantae; Streptophyta; Magnoliopsida; Amborellales; Amborellaceae.
ACAAGAUAAUUGAUUGGUGAUGAGAUCCUUGUAUGUACAACUUAUAUGUACAUAUACAUGCAACAUAUCCUCAGCAAAUACAUAGAUAUGACACUAUAAACCCUUAUAUCUUGCACGCAGUUGGGGUUUAGCAUGUGACCAAGUUCUAUGGCACUCUUACCCUAUCUUGCUUCACUCAAAACACAUACUGAAGAGAAAAUACUUAGCACAGUAGUUGUACAUGUAUAAUCGACAUUUACAUUAUUAGUUCGGAGUACAGCUUCCUCCACUUGCAUCACUAUCAUCACCAUCACCACCCGCAGCAUGUUGAUUUUGGCCAUUGCCCCAACUAUCGUACGAUUGGCGAGGUAUGUUAUGGUGGUUAUUGAUGUAGCUAUCAUGGUCCACAGGACUGUUACUCUCUAAACUCUUUUCCUCUCCUUUUUGUGACACUGUUUCCUGUUGCCGAGGUUGUGGUCGGGAUUCAUCUAGGUUAACUUCCAUGAGCAUUCUUCUAUGAAUGCCAAAAGCUGUGUUUACUAACAUCAUGUACAAGAUAAACACAAUAAGAAUCUUCAUAGCUGCUAACUAAGGUAAACUUGAGUUUAGAAAGUGGAAACUCAAAUAGGG